ACCUACGGGACGCAGCAGUGGGGAAUAUUGCACAAUGGGGGAAACCCUGAUGCAGCGACGCCGCGUGAAGGAAGACGGUUUUCGGAUUGUAAACUUCUGUUCUUAGUGAAGAAAAAUGACGGUAGCUAAGGAGCAAGCCACGGCUAACUACGUGCCAGCAGCCGCGGUAAUACGUAGGUGGCAAGCGUUGUCCGGAAUUACUGGGUGUAAAGGGAGCGCAGGCGGGAAGCCAAGUCAGCUGUGAAAACUACGGGCUUAACUUGUAGACUGCAGUUGAAACUGGUUUUCUUGAGUGAAGUAGAGGU
RNAcentral lists this ribosomal RNA (305 nucleotides) under uncultured bacterium. Its description in RNAcentral is "bacterial SSU rRNA". It matches the Rfam family "Bacterial small subunit ribosomal RNA", at positions 337 to 658 of the family's 1533-position model. The record is from RNAcentral.